Molecule: ribosomal RNA, 433 nt
Filed under: uncultured bacterium
Lineage: Bacteria
Description: partial 16S ribosomal RNA
Rfam family: Bacterial small subunit ribosomal RNA
Source: RNAcentral
AACGAACGCUGGCGGCAUGCCUAACACAUGCAAGUCGAACGAAGGCUUCGGCCUUAGUGGCGCACGGGUGCGUAACGCGUGGGAAUCUGCCCUUUGCUUUGGCAUAACAGUUAGAAAUGACUGCUAAUACCGGAUGAUGUCGCAAGACCAAAGAUUUAUCGGCAAAGGAUGAGCCCGCGUAGGAUUAGCUAGUUGGUGGGGUAAAGGCCUACCAAGGCGACGAACCUUAGCUGGUCUGAGAGGAUGAUCAGCCACACUGGGACUGAGACACGGCCCAGACUCCUACGGGAGGCAGCAGUGGGGAAUAUUGGACAAUGGGCGAAAGCCUGAUCCAGCAAUGCCGCGUGAGUGAUGAAGGCCUUAGGGUUGUAAAGCUCUUUUACCCGGGAUGAUAAUGACAGUACCGGGAGAAUAAGCUCCGGCUAACUCCGUG